Molecule: ribosomal RNA, 253 nt
Filed under: uncultured bacterium
Lineage: Bacteria
Description: partial 16S ribosomal RNA
Rfam family: Bacterial small subunit ribosomal RNA
Source: RNAcentral
UACGUAGGGUGCAAGCGUUGUCCGGAAUUAUUGGGCGUAAAGCGCGCGCAGGCGGUCCUUUAAGUCUGAUGUGAAAGCCCUCGGCUCAACCGAGGAGGGUCAUUGGAAACUGGAGGACUUGAGUGCAGAAGAGGAAAGUGGAAUUCCAAGUGUAGCGGUGAAAUGCGUAGAGAUUUGGAGGAACACCAGUGGCAAAGGCGACUUUCUGGUCUGUAACUGACGCUGAGGCGCGAAAGCGUGGGGAGCAAACAGG